RNAcentral lists this ribosomal RNA (447 nucleotides) under uncultured bacterium. RNAcentral describes it as "bacterial SSU rRNA". It matches the Rfam family "Bacterial small subunit ribosomal RNA", at positions 355 to 825 of the family's 1533-position model. The record is from RNAcentral.
UGGGGAAUAUUGGACAAUGGGCGAAAGCCUGAUCCAGCAAUGCCGCGUGAGUGAUGAAGGCCUUAGGGUUGUAAAAUCCUUUCGCCGAGGACGAUAAUGACGGUACUCGGAGAAGAAGCUCCGGCUAACUUCGUGCCAGCAGCCGCGGUAAUACGAAGGGGGCUAGCGUUGUUCGGAUUUACUGGGCGUAAAGCGCGUGUAGGCGGGUCGUUAAGUUGGGGGUGAAAUCCCGAGGCUCAACCUCGGAACUGCCUUCAAAACUGGCGACCUGGACCUAAGUAGAGGCAAGUGGAAUUGCGAGUGUAGAGGUGAAAUUCGUAGAUAUUCGCAGGAACACCAGUGGCGAAGGCGACUUGCUGGACUUAUGGUGACGCUGAGACGCGAAAGCGUGGGGAGCAAACAGGAUUAGAUACCCCCGUAGUCCCUGAGCGGGCUGGCAAGGCGCAU